Molecule: long non-coding RNA, 1197 nt
Organism: Oreochromis niloticus (Nile tilapia)
Lineage: Eukaryota; Metazoa; Chordata; Actinopteri; Cichliformes; Cichlidae
Exons: 2
Source: RefSeq, a predicted model, not a curated record
UUCUGUCUUUACAGGUAAGCUGGGUGGUUGAUAAUAUAAAACAGAUGUUAUAAAAGUGACAGACAGCAGUGGCGAUUAAUGAUAAAUGUCUUGUUUGUGGCGAAUGUUAAGCUAGAGAGCUAAUUUCCAAGUUGGUCCAGUUGUUAGACUGUACCGAAAGUCUGUAAUUUCCAUACAGGCAUUUUGGGGGUUAAAGCCACAAGAUAUAUGUUUUGCACAAUAAGAAAAAAUGUAAAUUGCUGGAUGUUUAGUUAGUGAAGAGUGAAUGUUGAAUAAAUACAGCUAAUAAGCCAGGUUCAUAAAUAGAUUAAAACAGUAGUAAAAACAAGAUAAAACUGUAAUGAGAGUUCACCAUGGUGCUUGUGCAUACAGUAAGAUGUAUUUCUGUGAUCUAAGCAGUUUAUAAAAUUGGUGCAUGUGAAUAUUAAACUGUAUACUUGUACUUGUAUUACUUGUAUAAAGUAAUGUUAGCUACACUAGAAGAAGUAGUGUAGGUAGCGUACGGCCCGCGCGCCGAAAGAACUGAUUAAUGUCACAUUUUUCUGUCUUUACAGUUUUCUGUAAAAAUAAAUAUGUUGCACGGGAGAUGAGUUGGCCGAUCAUUUCAGCAGUGUAACAUAUUGAUGCAAAUAUGUAAUGUACAUAAAAGAGGGAAGACUGCUGCAGAGUCUCAGAGCGACAAUGGAGAAAGUCCUGUCACCUCUAGAUUUUAAAUGGGAGGGUGGAACCAAUAAAAGCAUCUGACUGGAGGAACGCAGAGCUCGAGUGGGCUGAUAAGGUGAUUUCGCUUCAGCUCUUAAACUCCUGACAGACUGCUGAGAGUGGAGGGUUUGUCCAGUUAGAACUGAUUUCCUGCUGAUAAAUCCAGAGCAUGAACUCCUGCAUAAAUCACUGAUGAGGUAACAUCAAGGCCGUGUCCAGGUCAGGCUGACCUUGUCCAUCCAUUCUGCCAGGACUGCAACCCUCUGUCAUUCCUGCUUUGUCUCCACUAAUGAAGGCAUUUUAAUGAGGAACUAAAACUUUAAAUCUAUGAUCUGAUAAACAGAGGGGAUCACCCACAGUCUGGCUCAAUCUGGGCCUCCAAACGUCUGACUGGUGGCCCGAAUCCUCACCACUAUGCAAAGUGAGAGGUCAUGUUCAAUUUAAGAGGCAAAUAAGCAGAGAGCAGCUUCAGACAUCACUGCUUCUCAUUUAAAA